Molecule: transfer RNA, 73 nt
Filed under: Loxodonta africana (African savanna elephant)
Lineage: Eukaryota; Metazoa; Chordata; Mammalia; Proboscidea; Elephantidae
Rfam family: tRNA
About the family: Transfer RNA (tRNA) molecules are approximately 80 nucleotides in length.
Source: Rfam by way of RNAcentral
GCCUGGGUGGUAAAAAUGGUUAACACACUCAUCUGCUAACUGAAUGGUUGGAGGUCGAGUCCUCCCAGAGGCA